ACUUGAUGGUGUGGGCAUUGAUAUAGCAAGUCCCCAAAGCACUCCCAAGGCUCGAAAAAUAGUUCACUACCCAUCUGUGAGAAACUGGUGAUGGCUCUCCUAAGCU
This is a small nucleolar RNA of Malania oleifera, 106 nucleotides long. NCBI's taxonomy places the organism in Eukaryota, Viridiplantae, Streptophyta, Magnoliopsida, Santalales, Ximeniaceae. The record is from RefSeq and is a predicted model, not a curated record.